CCUACGGGUGGCAGCAGUGGGGAAUAUUGCACAAUGGGGGAAACCCUGAUGCAGCGACGCCGCGUGAGUGAAGAAGUAUCUCGGUAUGUAAAGCUCUAUCAGCAGGGAAGAAAAUGACGGUACCUGACUAAGAAGCCCCGGCUAACUACGUGCCAGCAGCCGCGGUAAUACGUAGGGGGCAAGCGUUAUCCGGAUUUACUGGGUGUAACGGGAGCGUAGACGGCGCUGCAAGUCCGGAGUGAAAGCCCAUGGCUUAACCAUGGUACUGCUCUGGAAACUGUGGAGCUUGAGUGAAGUAGAGGCAGGCGGAAUUCCUAGUGUAGCGGUGAAAUGCGUAGAUAUUAGGAGGAACACCAGUGGCGAAGGCGGCUUACUGGACUGUAACUGACACUGAGGCACGAAAGCGUGGGGAGCAAACAGGAUUAGAUACCCCAGUAGUC
Molecule: ribosomal RNA, 440 nt
Filed under: uncultured bacterium
Lineage: Bacteria
Description: partial 16S ribosomal RNA
Rfam family: Bacterial small subunit ribosomal RNA
Source: RNAcentral